GCCUGAGUGGCUCAGUCGGUUGAGCGUCCGACUUCGGCUCAGAUCAUGAUCUUGCAGUCUGUGAGUUCGAGCCCCACAUCGGGCU
RNAcentral lists this transfer RNA (85 nucleotides) under Felis catus (domestic cat). It matches the Rfam family "tRNA". Rfam says of the family: Transfer RNA (tRNA) molecules are approximately 80 nucleotides in length. Their secondary structure includes four short double-helical elements and three loops (D, anti-codon, and T loops). The record is from Rfam by way of RNAcentral. Lineage: Eukaryota; Metazoa; Chordata; Mammalia; Carnivora; Felidae.